UAGGGAAUCUUCGGCAAUGGGGGGAACCCUGACCGAGCAACGCCGCGUGAGUGAAGAAGGUUUUCGGAUCGUAAAGCUCUGUUGUUAAGGAAGAACGAGUGUGAGAAUGGAAAGUUCAUGCUGUGACGGUACUUAACCAGAAAGGGACGGCUAACUACGUGCCAGCAGCCGCGGUAAUACGUAGGUCCCGAGCGUUGUCCGGAUUUAUUGGGCGUAAAGCGAGCGCAGGCGGUUAGAAAAGUCUGAAGUGAAAGGCAGUGGCUCAACCAUUGUAGGCUUUGGAAACUGUUUGACUUGAGUGCAGAAGGGGAGAGUGGAAUUCCAUGUGUAGCGGUGAAAUGCGUAGAUAUAUGGAGGAACACCGGUGGCGAAAGCGGCUCUCUGGUCUGUAACUGACGCUGAGGCUCGAAAGCGUGGGGAGCGAACAGG
This 429-nucleotide ribosomal RNA is filed under the name Bacteroidota bacterium. Its description in RNAcentral is "Bacteroidetes bacterium partial 16S ribosomal RNA". It matches the Rfam family "Bacterial small subunit ribosomal RNA", at positions 355 to 776 of the family's 1533-position model. The record is from RNAcentral. Lineage: Bacteria; Pseudomonadati; Bacteroidota.